Coturnix japonica (Japanese quail) is the source of this 2018-nucleotide long non-coding RNA. RefSeq lists it as uncharacterized. Lineage: Eukaryota; Metazoa; Chordata; Aves; Galliformes; Phasianidae. The record is from RefSeq and is a predicted model, not a curated record.
CCUGAACAUUUUGUGCCAUCUGCUUUUCAGGUUCCUCGACUAGAUUAAUUUAUCACAUCUAUGUCUACAACAUUUUUUUCUAUAUUUGGUCUCUAGAGAAUUUGUACCUAAUUUUCUUUCUUUUUCCUUGUGCUUGUUCCAUUAAAGGUGCCUCUACUCUCAGCACUGCAGAGGAAUUCCAUAAACCUCAGCCAGUAAGAAACAGAACACUUCAUACCUACUACAACACCCAACUGCCAUUACUGAAGCUUACAUUACUAAUAGCGUUACGCUUACAGCUCAAGAUGCUGGAGAAAACAGUCACCAUCCAAGCUACGGGACGUGAUAUUUUACUCGGUGGAAGCCAUUUUCAAAGUUGAAAAGGUGGCCAGUGGGAAAAGAAGGGAAAAAAAAUCACUUUUCAUCACUUCUCAGUAUCAGGGUAAGUACUGCCACACCCAGAAUUCGUCCGCAGAGAUACAGGCAUCUCAUUCCAUGCCUUUCCAGUAGAAGUUUAUGGAUGGACACUCAGCUAUUUAUAGAAGCAUUACUUCACAUCCCCAUUUGUUUGAGACUUCUACAGAGCAUCACUGAUGUACGCUGUGAUACAUUGGAAUAGUUUCUGUAAUCCUUUCUUUCUCUGACCUUUGAAGUACGGUAUGAAAGUUCCCACUAGCUCUUAAUGUCCAUUUUCUAUUUAAGAAUUCCCUGGGUAGUACAGAAGUCACAAACAACCCGAAGCCUGUCUUAACCUACAAACACAAGCAAGAAGAAAAUUUUCUGAUAGCUGCUUCAUGAGCAAGAGCAACAAGAAAGAGGCAGGUGAUUUCACUUACUGAUUAUGUGGACUACAGCAAGUCUUAAUACGUUCACAUUUCAAAAUACAAAUCUGCUUAAGGUUUUUGUUUUUUAAGCUUUGUGCAUUUUCUGUAGUUUUUAGGAGCCCUGAUCCCCUACUGACCUACAGCACAAUAAUCCAAAUCAUCUCGCAGGCAAGCUGUUCUCCAUUUCACAUACACCCUAGCACAGGACUCUUCCAUCUAGCUGUUAUCAGCCCGGUCUCAAUAGCAGCUAAAAUGAAAACAGGAAGCAUUAGUUUCCAAAUAACUAAUGCACCUCUAACCAAAUAGUUUUAAGGCAGUACAAAGCAACAGCUUUUAUAUGCACCGUGUAUAUGUGUGCCCAUAAAAAAAUCUUACUGGACAUGCCACAAAACUAAGUGUAUAGAAUAAUGGCAAAAAAGAAUUCAACUCAUAAAUGCACUGAAUUCUGGGAACUACAUGUUACUUCUUACACUGGAAAGUAUGAAAGUAUUCAGAAAGCCUACAACAAGGUAUACGUGUGAUUUCAAUGCCUUUCCUUAUUCACACUGUCUAAUAUUCUACAUACAUGUUAUAUGAUUUCCAGCAUCGAUCAUGUUCAAGUCUCUGAUCAUGUGAUGUUUAACCUAUUUUCAGUCUAAAUUCAUCCAAUUUGUAAUAUUAAGGCCGCACUCCAUUUUACAGUGCUUAUCUACACAGUAGUUUUCACACAUCUUCAAAAUAUAAAAAAAUAAUAAGAAUAUUUCAGAGCAGAAGAUUUCGAUGUGCUCGUAACUUUUGAAGACAUUUUUCAUCAAGUCGCAAGGUUUUCUGCUCCAUUCCAGUUCAGAAGCACUUUAGGGAGCAGUCUGAGAACACACUUCGUUAGCAAACCGAAUAGCAGCCUGUAAAGUUUGUCGAGCAGUGGUGGAAUAUUCUGCUUACUAAUAACCAAGAGCUACAAAAAUAUACUCAGGGCACGACAUUCUGGAGUACCUUCACGAAGAAGUCCUUCAAGCUAAAGAAAGAAAUUGCUACAGUCAGAAGCUAUUUUGGUUAGGAGUUUAACCUGUUGUAUUCCCACGAGUAUCUGCUGUGUGUUUCCCUAUAAUGAGCUAUCUAAUCUAAACCACAUUGUCUGUAGCAGACAAAAAUACACAAACUAACUUUCAACUGAAAAAGCAGCAGGAGCGUGACUUCUACUUGAUCACAAAGAGCAGCACGUUCUGACUCAAUACA